AGUCCUAAGAGCACCAGGAAGGAGAACAGCUACAAAGAGGCAACUAGCUCUAACAGCUAUAUUCAGCUACAU
RNAcentral lists this transfer RNA (72 nucleotides) under Nicotiana tabacum (common tobacco). RNAcentral describes it as "tRNA-Asn". The record is from RNAcentral. Lineage: Eukaryota; Viridiplantae; Streptophyta; Magnoliopsida; Solanales; Solanaceae.